Molecule: ribosomal RNA, 600 nt
Filed under: Pantoea sp.
Lineage: Bacteria; Pseudomonadati; Pseudomonadota; Gammaproteobacteria; Enterobacterales; Erwiniaceae
Description: bacterial SSU rRNA
Rfam family: Bacterial small subunit ribosomal RNA
Source: RNAcentral
UUCCUUGAGGAGUGGCUUCCGGAGCUAACGCGUUAAGUCGACCGCCUGGGGAGUACGGCCGCAAGGUUAAAACUCAAAUGAAUUGACGGGGGCCCGCACAAGCGGUGGAGCAUGUGGUUUAAUUCGAUGCAACGCGAAGAACCUUACCUACUCUUGACAUCCACGGAAUUUGGCAGAGAUGCCUUAGUGCCUUCGGGAACCGUGAGACAGGUGCUGCAUGGCUGUCGUCAGCUCGUGUUGUGAAAUGUUGGGUUAAGUCCCGCAACGAGCGCAACCCUUAUCCUUUGUUGCCAGCGAUUCGGUCGGGAACUCAAAGGAGACUGCCGGUGAUAAACCGGAGGAAGGUGGGGAUGACGUCAAGUCAUCAUGGCCCUUACGAGUAGGGCUACACACGUGCUACAAUGGCGCAUACAAAGAGAAGCGACCUCGCGAGAGCAAGCGGACCUCACAAAGUGCGUCGUAGUCCGGAUCGGAGUCUGCAACUCGACUCCGUGAAGUCGGAAUCGCUAGUAAUCGUGGAUCAGAAUGCCACGGUGAAUACGUUCCCGGGCCUUGUACACACCGCCCGUCACACCAUGGGAGUGGGUUGCAAAAGAAGUA